Molecule: long non-coding RNA, 398 nt
Filed under: Mus musculus (house mouse)
Lineage: Eukaryota; Metazoa; Chordata; Mammalia; Rodentia; Muridae
Description: predicted gene, 47181
Source: RNAcentral
UUUUACUAGAGUGUGGCAAGGGACCUCCGGAAGAGCAGUCAGUGCUCUUAACUGCUGAGUCAACUCUCCAGGCCAGCUGUCAUCUUUCUAAGUCAAGACACAUGAGAGGUGCCUGUAGAAGUCAGAAGUUGCCAGAGCCCCUGGAACCUGUGUUAUAGCAGUUGUGAGCAGCCAUAUUAGAUGCUGGGAACUGAAGCCGUGUCCUCUACAAAACAGCAAAUCAAAUCUGAGGAACUGAUAGCUUGCCCAGGGUGCAGAGUAAACAUGACUGAAUUGGAAACAAAUGCAAAGCUGGAAGGCUCAGAAAAUUCCAUAUACCCUCUCAAACUCCAACCAACACAAAGUAAGAAAGAAAUCUUGCAGGCAACUCAACAUUUCCAGAGGGGAAGAGAAUUUGC